This 68-nucleotide transfer RNA is filed under the name Sepioteuthis lessoniana. RNAcentral's name for it is "tRNA-Val". The record is from RNAcentral. Lineage: Eukaryota; Metazoa; Mollusca; Cephalopoda; Myopsida; Loliginidae.
AGAUUUAACAUAAAUAAUGUGUCUCACUUACAUUGAGAAAAUGAUUUAUAUUAGUCAGUCUUGAAGAG